AAGUCGUAACAAGGUUUCCGUAGGUGAACCUGCGGAAGGAUCAUUAAUGAAAUUAUAAUCCGGCGAGGGGAAAGGCGGAGAGUUGUAGCUGGCCUCUAGGGGCAUGUGCACGCUCUCUUCCGGACCUUUCGCCGUAUGGGCGCGGGGCGACCCGCGUCUUCAUAUACCUCUUCGUGUAGAAAGUCUUUGAAUGUUUUACCAUCAUCGAGUCGCGACUUCUAGGAGACGCGAUUCUUUGAGAAAAAAGUUAUUACAACUUUCAGCAACGGAUCUCUUGGCUCUCGCAUCGAUGAAGAACGCAGCGAAUCGCGAUAUGUAAUGUGAAUUGCAGAUCUACAGUGAAUCAUCGAAUCUUUGAACGCACCUUGCGCUCCUCGGUGUUCCGAGGAGCAUGCCUGUUUGAGUGUCAGUAAAUUCUCAACCCCUCUCGAUUUGCUUCGAGCGGGUGCUUGGAUGUUGGGGGCUGCCGGAGACACUGGAUUCGUCCAGGACUCGGGCUCCUCUUAAAUGAAUCGGCUCGCGGUCGACUUUCGACUUUGCAUGACAAGGCCUUUGGCGUGAUAAUGAUCGCCGUUCGCCGAAGUGCAAGACAGAAUGGUCCCGUGCCUCUAAUGCGUCGACGCCUCUAGGGGCGUCUUCCUCAUUGACGUUGACCUCAAAUC
Molecule: ribosomal RNA, 662 nt
Filed under: uncultured Suillus
Lineage: Eukaryota; Fungi; Basidiomycota; Agaricomycetes; Boletales; Suillaceae
Description: eukaryotic LSU rRNA
Rfam family: 5.8S ribosomal RNA (bases 255-409)
Source: RNAcentral